ACUACCUUUGAAAAUGUUCCCCAGAAAUAUGAUAGUCACUUAACUGAAGCUGAUGGUCAAAGAGGAAAAAGUACAAUAAAGGAACAAGAAGAUUCUCUUGAGCAAUAUCAUCACUUGAAGCCUAAGGUUGAAAUCAAAGAGUGUGUUUCGAACCAGGCAGUCAGAAUGAAAGGUGUACAAGCAUGCACAUCAGACUUGGGGCAGAUGAACUUAAUAGAUCAAGAAAAGAUGACCACUGCAGCUGCAUUUCUAUUUUGGAAUUACACUCUCCAUGACCUGUGUGAGUCACAGCUACCAGAAAACAAAGAGAGCAAAGAAGAACAAGAUUUAGAAGCGACAUCAGAGCAAGAGCCAGAAAGGCUUGAAGGAAGUGAAAAGAACAAGCCACAGGCUGAGGGAGAAAGGAAGAAGCAUGCAAGGAAUGAAACAGAAGCAUCAAGAAACCUACAUGAUGGCUCCACUGAUGACCAUAUUCAACAAGGAGAGAGUGGAGAAACUGACGGUCAGCAAAUUCCUAGGACAGAGCAUGAAGAGUGCGAUAGUAGUGUCCCUGCCUUGCAUAUGAAGAAAGUAAAGAAAAAUGAACAUGAAGAAUGGAUCACAACAGAAUCUGUGACUCUGCUAGUAUUUAAGAAGGCCGAUUUAAUAACUCAUGAUCUGCUGCAAGUGACUGAUGACAGCAGUUUAACUGAAAUAGAUGAGAAAGAAAGAAAGCUUACAAAGAAAACAUCUAAUGAGAAGGACAAGGUCAGAAACCAAAUCCAUUCUAUGGAUGGCUUUGAUGACUUAACUUGGUCAUCUGAAAUAGCCUCAGAAUGUUGUGAGCUGCCUUACUCUAAUUACAAAAAGUUUAUAUUGCUCAUUGAAGAACUUGGCGUGGAUUGUAAAGAUCCUGUUAACCUACUGAAAAUUCAGGAUGCCGUUCAUUCAUGGGAAAGAUCAAUAGAAGUUGAAAAAAAUCACUGUAAACUACUUACAGAAAAAAUGAAAAAAAUGGAAAAUGAGGUCCAUGUACUACAAAAGGAGUUAUCUGAAACAAUAGAAAUAAAAUUACAGUUAGAACAUCAAAACGAUGAAUGGGAACGAGAUUUCUACAGUUUGAGAUCUGCCUUAAGACAAGAAGAAGAGAAGAGAAAAAAAUGCCAACACAUUGUAUGAAAAAAUCAGGGGACACUUAAGAAGAAAAGAAGAGCAGUACAUGAAAGAAGUUGAAGCGAACAAACAACUUCAACUGCCUUGAGACCACCGACAGAUAGUGGAUAUCCACGAACCAGGUACACGAAAUAAGUUGAAAAACGCAGGC
RNAcentral lists this long non-coding RNA (1303 nucleotides) under Cercocebus atys (sooty mangabey). RNAcentral's name for it is "lncRNA (ENSCATG00000045406.1)". The record is from RNAcentral. Lineage: Eukaryota; Metazoa; Chordata; Mammalia; Primates; Cercopithecidae.